GACGAACGCUGGCGGCGUGCUUAACACAUGCAAGUCGAGCGGUAAGGCCCUUUCGGGGGUACACGAGCGGCGAACGGGUGAGUAACACGUGGGUGACCUGUCCUCAGCUCUGGGAUAAGCCUGGGAAACCGGGUCUAAUACCGGAUAUGACUCCAUGACGCAUGUUGUGGGGUGGAAAGCCUUGUGCGGCUGAGGAUGGGCCCGCGGCCUAUCAGCUUGUUGGUGGGGUGAUGGCCUACCAAGGCGACGACGGGUAGCCGGCCUGAGAGGGCGACCGGCCACACUGGGACUGAGACACGGCCCAGACUCCUACGGGAGGCAGCAGUGGGGAAUCUUGCGCAAUGGGCGAAAGCCUGACGCAGCGACGCCGCGUGAGGGAUGACGGCCUCGG
RNAcentral lists this ribosomal RNA (391 nucleotides) under uncultured bacterium. RNAcentral describes it as "bacterial SSU rRNA". It matches the Rfam family "Bacterial small subunit ribosomal RNA", at positions 28 to 420 of the family's 1533-position model. The record is from RNAcentral.